This 269-nucleotide ribosomal RNA is filed under the name uncultured prokaryote. Its description in RNAcentral is "partial 16S ribosomal RNA". It matches the Rfam family "Bacterial small subunit ribosomal RNA", at positions 524 to 792 of the family's 1533-position model. The record is from RNAcentral.
UACGUAGGUGGCGAGCGUUGUCCGGAUUUACUGGGCGUAAAGGGAGCGUAGGCGGACUUUUAAGUGAGAUGUGAAAUACCCGGGCUUAACUUGGGUGCUGCAUUUCAAACUGGAAGUCUAGAGUGCAGGAGAGGAGAAUGGAAUUCCUAGUGUAUCGGUGAAAUGCGUAGAGAUUAGGAAGAACACCAGUGGCGAAGGCGAUUCUCUGGACUGUAACUGACGCUGAGGCUCGAAAGCGUGGGGAGCAAACAGGAUUAGAUACCCUGGUA